UUUGAGCUUUGAUCGCAGUCGGUGACUAACGGGAUAUCCAAGGUCCAAGAAACAACUCAUAUUCCUCUCGCUUUGCCAGUGGUCCGGAGGUAAAACCGACUAUCCGGUGGAGAAACGACCGGAUCCAGAGUCACCAAACAAGGAGGAAAUAGGAAAAUAGAUCAACAAAGAGUGAGUUGGAGAUGGACAAAGCGGGAGACUCGUGGGCCCUCUCACAACACCAUGCCAUACAGCGACGGAGAGGCUGAGCAGGAGGCAAGAUUAAGAUCGCAGAGUCUUAGAGAUUGAUAAAAAAAUUUAGGGGUUUGUUGGGUCACGCGCGGGAUUCUCAACUGGUUAAGUUCUUCUGUGUACCGUGUACAUGAUGGUAGUGCUCAUAAACAAUUAGCCCCUACUGCUUGUAGACAGAAUUGU
This 414-nucleotide long non-coding RNA is filed under the name Brassica napus (rape). RNAcentral's name for it is "long non-coding RNA (BNAP_LNC001360)". Lineage: Eukaryota; Viridiplantae; Streptophyta; Magnoliopsida; Brassicales; Brassicaceae. The record is from RNAcentral.